RNAcentral lists this long non-coding RNA (276 nucleotides) under Gossypium raimondii (Peruvian cotton). RNAcentral describes it as "long non-coding RNA (GRAI_LNC004670)". The record is from RNAcentral. Lineage: Eukaryota; Viridiplantae; Streptophyta; Magnoliopsida; Malvales; Malvaceae.
AACAGAUGCCAAAUUGAGAGGAACCUUAUGAUUAUAGAUACGGUUUUUUUUUCCAAAGAAGCUUUGAUUUUGAGUCAGAUGGAUGAUAAACCUGAAAAGUCCUGUAAACUCAGAUUCAAUCAGGAAAUACUCCGCUCAAAGAAGGAGAGGACCAAGGUAAAAACCCGCAAAGGGCAGUUUGAGUCCAAAAAAAAAAGGAAAAAGAAAAAGUGAUGUGAAAAAAUGAAAAGAUGAAAAUGAAAAAUGAAAAAGUAAAAAUGAAGAGGCUAAGGCGAA